Molecule: non-coding RNA, 99 nt
Filed under: Klebsiella quasipneumoniae subsp. quasipneumoniae
Lineage: Bacteria; Pseudomonadati; Pseudomonadota; Gammaproteobacteria; Enterobacterales; Enterobacteriaceae
Source: RNAcentral
CAGUUUUGGUUACUGCGCUCCUCCAAGCCAGUUACCUCGGUUCAGAGAGUUGCUGCUCAGAGAACCUUUGAAAAACCGCCUUGCUGGGCGGUUUUUCUC